Molecule: ribosomal RNA, 203 nt
Filed under: uncultured bacterium
Lineage: Bacteria
Description: partial 16S ribosomal RNA
Rfam family: Bacterial small subunit ribosomal RNA
Source: RNAcentral
UACGUAGGGUGCAAGCGUUGUCCGGAAUUAUUGGGCGUAAAGAGCUCGUAGGCGGUUUGUUGCGUCGGCUGUGAAAUCCCGAGGCUCAACCUCGGGUCUGCAGUCGAUACGAGCAAACUAGAGUGUUGCAGGGGAGACUGGAAUUCCUGGUGAUAGCGGUGAAAUGCGCAGAUAUCAGGAGGAACACCGGUGGCGAAGGCGGC